This is a long non-coding RNA of Aethalodelphis obliquidens (Pacific white-sided dolphin), 3735 nucleotides long. RefSeq lists it as uncharacterized. NCBI's taxonomy places the organism in Eukaryota, Metazoa, Chordata, Mammalia, Artiodactyla, Delphinidae. The record is from RefSeq and is a predicted model, not a curated record. The transcript is spliced from 3 exons.
ACCGCAACUAGAGAAAGCCCACAUGAAGGAACAAAGACCCAACACAGCCAGAAAUAAAUAGAAAAUUAAUUAAUUAAAAACAAAGAAAAGUUUGUGAAAAAUGUGUUGUUCAGUGUCAGGUAUUAUAGGAAGGUCAAGGAGGAUGAAGACUGAAGAGAAAAGUCUAUUAGAUUGAAUAAUCAAUCAGGCAGAAAGACAGAAGAAUCUAAAUGAAGUGGUGGGGGAAUCAGGCACUCCUGUUUUAGGGUCCCGGGCAUGAAAUUUUCUUUACAGUUCAAAACCCUAAAAACAAAACUUUUCUGCUUUAAAUUCCUACUGUACUUAUUAUAAUACCACAAAUUUUGAAUGUCAGCUGUUACCUAUAUUAUUCUCUUUCAAGUAUUUUGCAAAAGUCCCUAAACAGACCGUAAGCUCCUCACAGGCAACAAUUAUGUUUUUAUACAGCUGUGUGUCUAACCCAAGACCAAGCACAGGGCGAGGCAGCCUCCAGAUGCUGCAUCAACACCUAAAUUGUGCUGAUACCUCGCCAUAUACCAGCAUGCGGCUAAGUUGUCUCUAGCUCAGUCUUAGAUCCCUUACUCAUAAGGGCAAGUCUAUGGGCAGCUAUGAGCCCUGCACAAGAAAAGAAAUUUAAAAACUUGUAUUUAGGGAAACGCUUGGUGGUCCAGUGGUUAGGACUGCACACUUUCACUGCUGAGGGCCCAGAUUCGAUCCCUGGUCGGGGAACUAAGAUCCCACAAGCAAGCAAGCAAGCAAUAAAUAAAUAAUAAAAAUUAAAACUUGUGCUUAUUAAAGGCCAUGCCAGUCACCUAUCCAGAAAGACUGAAGUUCCAUGUUUUGGAUACAUUUUUACAAUACUGUCUAGCUCACAAUGUUACUAUAUGUCAUUUAAGAGCAACAAGGUAAGUAUAAAUUCAGGUUAGAUUUAACAAUUUGGAAGACACUGUAUUUAAAACCUCUUAAAAACAUUCUAUCUAGCACCCAAAACUUGUUUGGACAUGAAUAUGUAAUCUGUGAUUCUUUCUGUGGCAGAAAAACAAAAAACAACAAACUUCCCUUGUCAAAGAGUGAGACCCAUGUCCAGUCACCAGCAUGCUGAAAAGAAGCCUGCUCCACAGCUCUGGGGUUGUGUGAAUGCCAAGUAAACUCAGCUCCUCCCCAGUCUGCAAACUGCUCUUUCAACAAAAUUCUGCCCAACUUAGACUGCAGAAACUAAACUGUAAGGAAGGUAUUUUGAUUUUAGCCUGUUAGAUAGGACUGCAAAUAAAUAGGAUGUUGUGUCCAGGAACAGUCUUACUGACUGCAUCAUCCUCCAUGAGACAAUAUUUAAAUUUACUCCUGAAAGUUUUCAACUGAAAGUGAGAAAUGAGUCCGAAAUAGGUAAUAAAGUGAUUACAAUCUCUUUGUUUAAUUGAAUGAGAAAGUUAACAUUUCUAUAAAACUAAGAAAUAGAAUGUAUUUUAUGGAGUUUGUGUUUUAUGUUCCGCUAGUCUUGGGUCCCAACAAUAUGCAAACAGCAGUUUUACUAAUGUGAAAAAUAAAUAAUUGAAUACAUUUCACAAGUAUAUUAUCUGCCCUCUGCCCCACUAAAAGUGAUGCAAAUUAUAGUUUCCCAAGUGCCGCAGUGGGCAGCUGGAAAUAGUCUCUGUCCAAUUAUACAAUGAGUUCUUUUGAGUUCGGGAAGAGGGUGAGGGAGACUGAAAUCACAGUGCAUCAGGCUUGAAUGUCUUUGUAUAUGUGUGUAUGUUGGGAAGCUAAUAAAGUGGUAGGUCAGUCCCUAAUUCAGUUUGGCUUUUUUUAAUGCUACACUCCAGUGCCUGAAAACUUUUACUCUUAAGGAGCAAGGACUGUGUACCUUACUAAGUGCCUAAGGCCAAAGUGUCAUUUUGCAUAUGAGGGAGUGCUGAGUUUGCUGUCAGCCAAGCCUUCUGCCUCCCAGGAGCCCCUGCUGGAGUUAAUUCACGUCCAGCAGUUGGGGAAAUCUUCAGAAUGUUAAAGACUGUCAGCUGCAACUUGGAGAGUACCAAAUAUGCCUGCCAGAUUUGUGAGAAUGUGGCCGAACCAAUGAGAUAGAAGGUGCAGAUCUUAAAUCUACUGGAGUUGGACACGUCAGAAAUGGAUAAUAAGUACUACAGAUCCUCACACAAGAAUUAGGAUUUUUCCAGACACUUAGCACCUAAGUAAUAUUUGUAUAUAUGUUGUGGAAAAUGCUGCUUGAAGGAAUGAUAGAGGCUGAGAGAGUUUGAAAUAUUUAUCCUCUGACUUGCCAAACCAUAAAAAUGCAACAAAAUGUACUGAGGUAAGACCUAAGAUGCUACUCUGAUGGCUCAGGAAGCAUCCCAAUAUCUCAGCAAUUUAAUAUAAGAGUGAUCAUGAUAAGGUGGAUAUGUGUAGCCAGAUCUGUUUUCAUAAUGUUUUAUAUAUCAGUAUUGUAAUAACUUAGCACGCCAACAGACACAGGUUUACACUCACAUUCUGCUUUCUCUUCUGUUUUACUCUAUAUUUUUGAAAACUGUCCAUACUGAUAUAGCUUCAGUCGGUAAUAGCCUCACUGAUGGGCACUUAGGGCAUAUCAACCUUAUAACGCUACAAUAAAAAUCCUAUACACAUAUGUUGUGGUCAUGUAUGACACCCUUUUCAGGAUAGCUUUCUUGAAGCAAAAUCACUGAAUCGAAGGGUAUGAACAUUUUAAAUAUUGAUAGAUACCGCUAAAUUGCCUUCUCACCGAUAACAUAUAAGCAUUUCCAUUUCAGCCAUUUCCAACCACACUGGAUACUAUCAGCCUUUUAGUUUUUGCCAGGUAAGUUUAAGUAUGAAUAAGGACAAGGUAAUGUUUUAUGGAGAGAAAUCCAGUAGUAAGAGGUACUGGGUAAGAGUGUGGGCACAACCAGUAACAACCAAAUGCCUGUCCUCCAGGGGCUCCUGCCUAGUUGCAGAGACCAACAAAUAAAAGAAUAACGAUGCAAGGUGAUAACUGAGAGAGGAGAAGGACAUUAAAAACGUCAAGAGAAACAGAUUAGCACCAAAUCUGCCUGCAGGGCUUGGGGAAGGUUUUCCUUCAUGAGAAAAUAAUAUUUGCUCUGAUGAUUGAAAGACGAGGAGAAACUCACUAUUAAGGAAGGUGGGAAAGGGCAUUCCAGGCAGGGAAGCAGCGUGGAGAAAGGCAUAUGGAGGCGUGAGUAUGAUUGGCAGUGGUGCAAGGUGGGAGUGAAGGGAAAGAUGUGGGCAAUUGGCUGUCAGGUCAGUCAGACCCUACCUACCAAGAAGGGUUUCCAGAGAGGGGUCAUGUAAUCAGAACUAUUUCAUAGAAAGAUAUUCUGGAUGCCUUGUAGAGAAUGAAUUGAGACUAAAAGUAUAUGUUACAGCUGGGAAAGAGAGGUUGAAGUCACUGCAGACAUUUCCCUGAAAAUAUCUGAAAACAAAACAAAUUGUGGUUUGACCACACAGAGUACUCUGUGUGGUUUGGGUCAUGAUACCUUUAUUCAACAAGUGUGUAUUGAAACCGUACCAUGAGUUCAGCAGAGCUAGAUGCUGAAAGAACUCAAAAAGCCAAUGAAAUAGCCACUGUUUUUUCAACACCUACAAUACACCAGGCACUUUUUAUACUUUGUCUAAUCUUUACAUUUGUCCUGCAGUAUCACAAAUGAGAAAACUGCGGUUGUUAAAGAAGCAGAGGGACUUCCCUGGUGGCGCAGUGGUUAAGAAUCCACCUGCCAGUGCAGGGGACACCAGUUC